UGGGGAAUAUUGGACAAUGGGCGCAAGCCUGAUCCAGCAAUGCCGCGUGAGUGAUGAAGGCCUCGGGUUGUAAAGCUCUUUCGCACGCGAGGAUGAUGACGCUAGCGUGAGAAGAAGCCCCGGCUAACUUCGUGCCAGCAGCCGCGGUAAUACGAAGGGGGCGAGCGUUGUUCGGAUUUACUGGGCGUAAAGGGCGCGUAGGCGGCGAUGUAAGUCAGGCGUGAAAGCCCCGGGCUCAACCUGGGAAUUGCGCUUGGGACUACAUUGCUGGAGUUCGGGAGAGGAGCGUGGAAUUCCCAGUGUAGAGGUGAAAUUCGUAGAUAUUGGGAAGAACACCGGUGGCGAAGGCGGCGCUCUGGACCGAUACUGACGCUGAGGCGCGAAAGCGUGGGGAGCAAACAGGAUUAGAUACCCCAGUAGUCCUG
Molecule: ribosomal RNA, 425 nt
Filed under: uncultured bacterium
Lineage: Bacteria
Description: bacterial SSU rRNA
Rfam family: Bacterial small subunit ribosomal RNA
Source: RNAcentral